Molecule: ribosomal RNA, 604 nt
Filed under: uncultured bacterium
Lineage: Bacteria
Description: bacterial SSU rRNA
Rfam family: Bacterial small subunit ribosomal RNA
Source: RNAcentral
CAAGUCGAACGAGGGCCCGGGGCUUGCCCCGGUUACCCUAGUGGCGGACGGGUGAGUAACGCGUGGGAACCUACCCUGGAGCGGGGAAUAAUCACUGGAAACGGUGGCUAAUACCGCAUACGCCCUCAGGGGGAAAGGCUUCGGCCACUCUAGGAUGGUCCCGCGUCCGAUUAGCUUGUUGGUGGGGUAACGGCCUACCAAGGCGACGAUCGGUAGCUGGUCUGAGAGGAUGAUCAGCCACACUGGGACUGAGACACGGCCCAGACUCCUACGGGAGGCAGCAGUGGGGAAUAUUGGACAAUGGGGGAAACCCUGAUCCAGCAAUGCCGCGUGAGUGAAAAAGGCCUUAGGGUUGUAAAACUCUUUCACCCGUGAAGAUGAUGACGGUAGCGGGAGAAGAAGCCCCGGCUAACUCCGUGCCAGCAGCCGCGGUAAUACGGAGGGGGCUAGCGUUGUUCGGAAUUACUGGGCGUAAAGCGCGCGUAGGCGGCUUAUCAAGUUAGGCGUGAAAGGCCUGGGCUCAACCCGGGAACUGCGCUUAAUACUGGUAGACUUGAGUCCGGGAGAGGGUGGCGGAAUUCCCAGUGUAGAGGUGAAAUUCGUA